Corvus hawaiiensis (hawaiian crow) is the source of this 2178-nucleotide long non-coding RNA. RefSeq lists it as uncharacterized. The record is from RefSeq and is a predicted model, not a curated record. Lineage: Eukaryota; Metazoa; Chordata; Aves; Passeriformes; Corvidae. The transcript is spliced from 6 exons.
GCUGCUGCAGUAUUUCCUAAGUUAUGGUCCCAGAAGGGAUGGAGUUCUCCACUGAGCUGUUGCUUACCAGAGCUAACUCCUCUGUCAUGUGAAAAGGCAGCCAAAAUUUAAUUAGGAUAUAAAACAUGGCCUGAAGAGCUUGCACGAGUGGAGGGAACUCCAUGUGAAGGACAGGGAACCAGCUGCGGGGGAUUCCCAGCUGCUCUGGUGCUGAGCCUGGUGGCUUUUGCCUUCAAGUUGGUUUUGCUGCUCUGCCAAGGACUGAUGAAGGCAACGUCUCUUGAAGCAUUGCAGGAGGACAGAGCUGCUCAUGGAUGGUUCACACAAGGUAUUUUCAAGAAAUGGUCAUGCAGAUCCAACAGAGGAAAUUUCUGCCAGCUGAUAAUUACUGGACCCCACCUGCACGUGGCUGAAAGUCCCAGUUUUCAGUAUUUACUGCUCACCUCAAUGGAACUGUUGCAGCAAGACCUUCACAUUCCUUCAGGAGCUUUCUUUAAGUCUCCGUGUCUGGCUGGUCUGUCUUCAGAGCCUCUGCAAACAAGUAUCAAUCAGAAAAUGCUUUUGGAGAUGAUCUUGGAUAAGUCUUUUCCCAGCAACUAACAGACUCAAUGGCUCAGUCUGCAAUACCAAAGUGAGGCUUUGCUGCUGGAGGUUGUGAUGUUUAGGAAGAUCACCUUCUGAAAAUGCUUAUUCUUUUGCCUCUUAGUCCACCCCUCUCAGGAAAGAAGAUUGUUUCUUUUGGAUCCCAUUCCUCCAGGGGAUUUCAACCUUUCUCCUACCUCCCCCAUUUCAGUCUGAGCUUUUCCUUGCUGUGAUUCUUUGGUGGCAGCACCUGGUCUUCAUCUAUGUGCCGGAUCUGGAGCUCAGCAGUGGUGUCUGUGUGUACUAACACUGAGACACUGCAGAAACUCCAGCGUGUUACUCCAGGUUGAUCCCCCAGGAAGGUGCUAAGCUGUGAGGAUGGGCUCCCUGAACUGCUUUGUUAUUUCCCUGAGGGGCCAGCCAAGAGUCCAGUGAGCACAGCAACUGCAGUGACACAGACUUUCUUUCCACUGGGACCCAAGCCAAGGCUGGCUCCUUAUUUCACUGAGGCUGAGUUGUUGCCAGAGGAUAAUGAAUGGUGGUCAACAGUGAGCUGACCUUCCUCUGAACUCACGAUCCCAAGGUGAACAGCUCCAUUUAUCCAGAGCCCACGAAUGCCAAUCAGCUUUUCUACAUUCACCUUCAACUGGAUCUGUCGAGGAGGGCAAUCUCUGAGUGGUUUUACUGAUCUUGGAUGGAUGCAGCACAUGGAGAAAACAUUUGCCUCCAUCUCUUGCUUCUUCUGAUUAUACGCACAACCCAAGCAGAGCAUGACCUGCUGACAAACACAUCCUGGAGACAGAAUAUGAGAAGUCCACAUCAUCCUACAUUGACAGUUUGCUGUUAUACUGGACUAGGUGUCAUGACCUUGGAAGCAGCUUGUGGGGAAAAAGGGUUUUCUCCAGAAAAUUCCACCUUGAACUGUGCUGUGAGGCUGAGAUAGUGGGGUAAUCCACAACAGCUUUGAUGAAUGAGUAACAGUAUGUUGGGGUUUUUUAGGAGUUCUCCUGUUUUCUUUUUCUCUUAAAGAAUUUUUUCCAUAUAUAUUGCCAGGGCAACAAAUUACUGUGUGCUUAAGAAAAACAAAAGAUGUGGCCACAGAGGGAGGGGUCCAACUGGCUACUCUCUUUCACCUGUGGGUUAGGUACACCCCGGGUGGGCCGGUGUUCUCGGCGUUGGGAUGGAGGGAUGCUGCCGUCGUUGUGGAGGGAUUUCGUCAGCACUGCGGGCUUCUGCUUUUGGCUGCCUUCCUUCUACCGUGAGUGGAGCUUGCUCACUGGAGUGGCUGUUGCACUGGGACCCUAACACCCCACCUCACUAAAAGAGGGACCUGUUCACCAUCUGCUUGGGUGCCUCAAGGAGAAACCCCGGGAUUCCCAAGCCUGCCUUUCCCUGCCCCGCUGGAAUCCAGGCUGUGGCCGCCCUGCCCCUGUCGCUGCUUUGAACCUUUGCUACCUCGUAGCCCCGCACACCCUGCCUGCCCAGACCUCCCGGUGUUCCCGCUGCAGCUCCGGAGUUUGAUACAUCUCGUCUGCCACCCGGGAUUUGUGCUCGUCCCUGCCGUUCCAGCCUGCUGUUCCCGAGGGUCCGGCCGGA